Molecule: ribosomal RNA, 425 nt
Filed under: uncultured bacterium
Lineage: Bacteria
Description: partial 16S ribosomal RNA
Rfam family: Bacterial small subunit ribosomal RNA
Source: RNAcentral
GUGGGGAAUCUUGCGCAAUGGGCGAAAGCCUGACGCAGCCAUACCGCGUGAAUGAUGAAGGUCUUAGGAUUGUAAAAUUCUUUCACCGGGGACGAUAAUGACGGUACCCGGAGAAGAAGCUCCGGCUAACUUCGUGCCAGCAGCCGCGGUAAUACGAAGGGGGCUAGCGUUGCUCGGAAUUACUGGGCGUAAAGGGCGCGUAGGCGGACAGCUUAGUCAGAGGUGAAAGCCCAGGGCUCAACCUUGGAAUUGCCUUUGAUACUGGCUGUCUUGAGUUUGGGAGAGGUGAGUGGAACUCCGAGUGUAGAGGUGAAAUUCGUAGAUAUUCGGAAGAACACCAGUGGCGAAGGCGACUCACUGGCCCAAUACUGACGCUGAGGCGCGAAAGCGUGGGGAGCAAACAGGAUUAGAAACCCUAGUAGUCC